UGCAAGAAAGCCUAACACUUACGUGUUUCCCCACGUGCAUCCAUGACUGGGAAAACACCCGCAAGGUCCCGACACCUGCAAAUAAGAAAAGAACAUUGUUAGAAGUGCUAAAUAAGGUCACAGAUCAUUAUACUUACGUACUUCGCAUGUGCAACGGCAACGGACGAACAACGCUCGCAACAUCUCAAGACCUGAAAACAGAAAACAAGGGACUUUAUUGAGGUGUCAUUGAAAUUCCCAUACCUACGUACAACUGCACGUGUCGCGCUCUCAGUGACCACGCCCUCAGCAUUCAGGCACCUGAAAAAGACAAUGCAAAGACUUCAUUAAAGGUGCCCAUCUCUUCAAGACUAUAAACUCUUUAUACCUACUGGCAUCCGCUCAUGCAGUAACGGCGGCAUCACCUUUUGGCAUCUCAGCACCUGUGCCACUUCUAAGGCCACAAAAGACUUUGAGGACCUCCAGUGACGUAACUGGAACCCACGCACCCCUGCAUAAGUCGCAGGAUGGAGAGCCCAGCACUUAUACGCCUAAGGUGAGAGCUCACCAGGACAUUGGACUUUCGGAGAGUUGGCGAUUAGUGAGGAGGAAGUCCAGCCAAACGGUCAUUAACCCUUUUUUCUUCCACCUGCAGAAACCUUACCCUGCAAGCCAGACGGUCAAUAAGAGGAAGCCCAGUCCAGAGAGUCAUCCGAGCUCUACGCUUCUCAAUUGAAGAGACUAUAACAGUUCAGCCGGGACAAGUGCCUCUGUGGGAAUCAGGUGAGCGUUACACCUGGGUAUAGAGGCGAAAGAUUAAUCAAACCAUCUAGUAGCUGGUUACCUCUGAAUUUUCCCUCCGGAUAGCUGGCGCACGGAAACCCCAGUUUUAUCUGGUAAAGUGAAUGAUUAGAGUUCUUGGGGCCAAAAUGAUCUCAACCUAUUCUCAAACUUUAAAUGGUAAGAAGCCCGGCUCAUUGGCGUGGAGCCCGGCUGCAAGUGCCCAGUAGGCCACUCUUGGUAAGCAGAACUGAUGCUGUGGGAUGAACCGAAUGCUGGGUUAAGGUGCCCAAUGCCAACGCUCAUCAGACCCCAGAAAAGGUGUUGGUUGAUAUAGACAGCAGGACGGUGGCCGUGGAAGUCGGAAUCUGCUAAGGAGUGUGUAACAACUCACCUGCCGAAUCAGCUAGCCCUGAAAAUGGAUGCCGCUGGAUCAUCUGGCCCAUACCCGGUCGGCACUGAGAGCCGCGGGGGCUAAGCCGCAACGAGUAGGAGGGCCUCUCCGGUGUGCACGGAAGCCCGGAGCUGCCACAGGUGCAGAUCUUGGUGGUAGUAGCAAAUAUUCAAACGAGAACUUUGAAGGCCAAAGUGGAGAAGGGUUCCAUGAGAACAGUGGUUGAACAUGGGUCAGUCGGUCCUAAGAAAUGGUUGAGCGCCAUUGGGAAGGCAUGGUCGACGGCCUCCGUUGCCCUCAGCCGAUCGAAAGGGAGUCUGGUUCAGAUCCCUGAACCCGGAGUAGAGUAGAUGGGCGCCCUCGCGGCAUCCAGUGCGAUAAUGCAAACUAACCCAGAGAAGCUGUUGGGAUCCCCAGGGAGAGUUCUGUUGUAUUUGUAAUGGCUGGGCACCCUGGAAUGGGUUCGACCCGAGAGAGGGGCCCGAGCCUUGGAAAGCCUUGCAGUUCCUGCGGUGUCCGGUGAACUCUUGCUUGUCCUUGCAAAAGCAGGUGAGAUGCUGUAAAUCUCGUGCCGGGCCGUAGCCAUAUCUGCAGCAGUUCUCCAAGGGGAACAGCCUCUGUUACGUUGGAACAAUGUAGGUAAGGGAAGUUGACAAGUCGGAUCUGUAACUUCGGGAAGGGCUGGGUCGGUCGGGCUGGAGUGCGAAGCGGGGCUAGCCACACGCUGGGGCUGGAAGAGGCAUCUCCUCCCGGGGGUGGCACCGACUCUGGAUGUGAGCCAGCCCCUUCCUGUGGAUCGCCCCAGCUGUGGGGGUCACCACUCUACGUUCCCCUCCCUGGGUUCGGGGCUGGCGGUCUGCCUUGGCUGAUGCCUAGCAGCUGACUUAGAACUGGUGCGGACCAGGGGAAUCCGACUGUUAAAUGCAAACAAAGCACCGCAUAAGGCCCAUGGUGGGUGUUGAUACGAUUUCUGCCCAGUAAGUCAAAGUGAAGAAAUUCAAUGAAUCGCGGGUAAACGGUGAGAGUAAAUAUGACUCUCUUAAGGUAGCCAAGUGGCUCGUCAUCUAAUUAGUGACACACAUGAAUGGAUGAACAAGAUUCCCACAACCAAGGGAACAGGCUUGGCAGAAUCAGUGGGGACAGAACACCCAGAUGAGAGUCACUAUUGUCUGCCACUGUGAAGAGACAUGAGAGGUGUAGGAUAAUUGGGGGGAGGGGCCCUGUGGGUCUCGCUUCUGACUCAAAGGGCCUGGCACCUGCCGGGCACGACCCACUCGGUGGACAGUGGCAGGUAGGGAGUUUGACUGGGGCGGUACACCUGGCAAACCAUAAGGCAGGUGUUCUAAGGUGAGCUCAGGGAGGACAGAAAUCUUCCACGGAGCAGAAGGGCAAAAGCUUGCUUGAGCUCCAUUUUCAGUAUGAAUACAGACCGUGAAAGCGGGGCCUCAGGAUCCUUCUGACUUUUAGGGUUUCAAGCAGGGGGUAUCAGAAAAGUUACCAAAGGAAUAACUGGCUUGUGGCGGCCAAGUGUUCAUAGCAACGUCGUUUUUUGAUCCUUCAAUGUCUCUUCCUAUCAUUGUGAAGCAGAAUUCACCAAGCGUUGGAUUGUCCACCCACUAAUAGGGAACAUGAGUUGGGUUUAGACAGUCGUGAGACAAGCUAGUUUUACCCUAAUGAUGAUGUGUUGUUGCAUUAGUAAUUCUGCUCAGUAUGAGAGGAACCACAGGUUCAGACAAUUGGUGUAUGUGCUUGGCUGAGGAGCCAAUGGGGCGAAGCUACCAUCUGUGGGAAUAUGACUGAACGCCUCGAAGUCCGAAUCCCCCCUAACUGUAACAGUACUGCAGCGCUGUGGAGCCUCGGUUGGCCUAGGAUGGCCUAUGAUAGUGCGUAGAACCGAUCACCUCGUGACUCUAGUGUGAACAGAAGAGGGCCACCUCUUUUGCCCGUAGUGCACCACAUGUUUGU
This 3118-nucleotide ribosomal RNA is filed under the name Ambystoma mexicanum (axolotl). Its description in RNAcentral is "eukaryotic LSU rRNA". The stretch from base 456 to 3118 matches the Rfam family "Eukaryotic large subunit ribosomal RNA". Lineage: Eukaryota; Metazoa; Chordata; Amphibia; Caudata; Ambystomatidae. The record is from RNAcentral.